This 253-nucleotide ribosomal RNA is filed under the name uncultured bacterium. RNAcentral's name for it is "partial 16S ribosomal RNA". It matches the Rfam family "Bacterial small subunit ribosomal RNA", at positions 524 to 776 of the family's 1533-position model. The record is from RNAcentral.
UACGAAGGGGGCUAGCGUUGCUCGGAUUGACUGGGCGUAAAGGGCGCGUAGGCGGUUCGUACAGUCAGACGUGAAAUCCCCGGGCUCAACCCGGGAACUGCGUUCGAUACUGGCUGGCUUGAAUCCGGGAGAGGGAUGCGGAAUUCCAGGUGUAGCGGUGAAAUGCGUAGAUAUCUGGAGGAACACCGGUGGCGAAGGCGGCAUCCUGGACCGGCAUUGACGCUGAGGCGCGAAAGCCAGGGGAGCAAACGGG